GACGAACCGUGCGAACGUUAUUCGGAAUCACUGGGCUUAAAGGGCGCGUAGGCGGUGCUGCAAGUUGAAGGUGAAAUACUAUCGGCUCAACCGUGGAAUUGCCUCAAAACUGCAGCGCUCGAGGGAGAUAGGGGCAUGCGGAACUUCCGGUGGAACGGUGAAAUGUGUUGAUAUCGGAGGGAACGCCGGUGGCGAAAGCGGCAUGCUGGACCUCUACUGACGCUGAGGCGCGAAAGCUAGGGUAGCGAACGGG
Molecule: ribosomal RNA, 253 nt
Filed under: uncultured bacterium
Lineage: Bacteria
Description: partial 16S ribosomal RNA
Rfam family: Bacterial small subunit ribosomal RNA
Source: RNAcentral